This 882-nucleotide unclassified non-coding RNA is filed under the name Hevea brasiliensis (rubber tree). The record is from RNAcentral. Lineage: Eukaryota; Viridiplantae; Streptophyta; Magnoliopsida; Malpighiales; Euphorbiaceae.
AAUUGGACAUUGUCCUCAAUGUCUAAGGUAGUGCAGCAUGAAAACUCAAAGCAAAGAGGAAUAACCAGGAAUAGUUAAAUUUAAAAGCAAAAAGAAAGAGUUGCCUGGUAUAGAGCAGUGUUUUAUCAUCUAAAAUGUGAAUUUAAAAGAUGAUGGUGAUGCAUAAGAAAGCUGCACAAGUUAUGCAGAAUAAAUGCUUUGCAGAACAGGUGCAUAAGGAGACUGCACAAGUUGUGCAGUAUAGCAUGAGUUGCAUAAGGGACUGCAUAAGUUAUGCAGAACAGUUGCAUAAGGAGAAAUAUAAGUUGAAAAGUAGCUGCAUAAGCAAUUUCAUAGCCUGUACAGUAUAUUGAAUAGCUGCAGCAUAAUGAUAUAUCAAGGAAAAACUUGAAAACAUCUGCAGAGGUAUGUAAAUAUAUACAAUGUAUUGACAAGUAUGCAUAAAGGAGCAGCAAAGGCAAAGAGAAGCAAUGAAAAACCAAUGGAAUAGCCCUCCAAUUGUAUUUCAAGAAAACAGAAUUCAAGGCAGACUAAAAUUGUUGCAGCACAUCUAAAAAGAAAAGCUCCUAGAAGUUGAACAAAAGCAAGAUAAAAACUAAUCUAUUUCUAUAGUCUUGCCCUUAUCCAAAGGUGCUACUAGAGGACUAGACGGAGCUGGCUGCUGCUGAAGGGGUUGUUCUGGAGGAGGUGAUGUAGGUGGAGGGGUUUGUUGUGGAGGAGAAUCGGGAUUGGGGGCUUGCAUAGUGAGGGGUGUAACUUGGAGAGGAGAGCCUUGAGGGGAAGGGGGAGGCAUUUCCAUGGUAGUGGUGGUUGAUGAUGGUAGGAAUGGAGGAGGGAAGAAGAAAAUAAAAGAGAUAGAGGGGAAGUUGGGUAUCGGUCGGC